UUAAACUAUCAUGGGAAUCUGCAUUUUUGUAAUUACCUAUUAUUCUAAUUAUAACAAUAAUCUAAAAGGUAAUGCCACUAACAUGCUUUCUUGUUUGUUUUUAAGAAGAUUAGAUUACAAGAAUCACCACUAAAAUUUAAACAAGUGGAACGGGACCGUCAACAGUGUUUGUUUAACACUUCCACCUGCAAAUUUUCUUGAAAAGUUCUCAAACAUUGACGAUCACAGGACCAGUGCA
This 238-nucleotide long non-coding RNA is filed under the name Elaeis guineensis (African oil palm). Its description in RNAcentral is "long non-coding RNA (EGUI_LNC019119)". Lineage: Eukaryota; Viridiplantae; Streptophyta; Magnoliopsida; Arecales; Arecaceae. The record is from RNAcentral.